CCGGACCGGCCGGCACCGGGGUGAGUAACGGCGUAUGCAACUUACCUAUCAGGACGGGGGAUAACCCCGGCGAAAGUCGGGACUAAUACCGCAUGAAGCAGGGGCCCCGCAUGGGGGAUAUUUGCUAAAGAUUCAUCGCUGAUAGGAUAGGCAUGCGUUCCAUUAGGCAGUUGGCGGGGUAACGGCCCACCAAACCGACGAUGGAUAGGGGUUCUGAGAGGAAGGUCCCCCACAUUGGUACUGAGACACGGACCAAACUCCUACGGGAGGCAGCAG
RNAcentral lists this ribosomal RNA (276 nucleotides) under uncultured bacterium. RNAcentral's name for it is "partial 16S ribosomal RNA". It matches the Rfam family "Bacterial small subunit ribosomal RNA", at positions 86 to 354 of the family's 1533-position model. The record is from RNAcentral.